Lacerta agilis (Sand lizard) is the source of this 560-nucleotide long non-coding RNA. RefSeq lists it as uncharacterized. The transcript has 4 exons. The record is from RefSeq and is a predicted model, not a curated record. NCBI's taxonomy places the organism in Eukaryota, Metazoa, Chordata, Lepidosauria, Squamata, Lacertidae.
AACUGGGAAUAUAGGACUGAGCAUACCAUCUACUCUCUGAACAGCUGUCUUCCAGCCAGGAAACACAGAUCUCAUAUAUCAAGAUUCUAGAUGCCAACACCAGGUAGGAACCCCAGUUCCAGAUGCUGGAAGAACAAAGUAAGCCAGGAAAGGUGCUGCCACAGGUAAGCCAGUAACCUUGUCCAUCGGUUGCCUGCUGAAGACGGUCCUGAGAAUGACUCUUUGAAGAUGCUGGAGGUGACUCAGUCAGGAAGCCACAUAAAUUCCUUGGAAUUCAUGUCACCAGGGUCUUCAUCAAAAGAGGAGUCAUCCUGGCUCUGGCCUGACCAUCCCGUUCUAUGCAUGCUGAUCACUCAGCAUGGAGCUAACAGCCAAAAUUGACACACAGGAAUUGCUGUUCUCAGGAAGUGAAUGAAAUAUAGCUACUCUGCUGAUUCCUUGACCUCAGGAAAGAAAUCCUAUAUACUAAUAGCAAACUCAUUCUCCAAGUGUCGGUCCUUAUAUAGCCAAAAAGACACCACCUAUGUAGAAGAGGGGGAUACCUGCAAUCUUGGGAAAAC